Molecule: RNase P RNA, 341 nt
Filed under: Clostridiales bacterium
Lineage: Bacteria; Bacillati; Bacillota; Clostridia; Eubacteriales
Description: RNase P RNA component class A
Rfam family: Bacterial RNase P class A
About the family: Ribonuclease P (RNase P) is a ubiquitous endoribonuclease, found in archaea, bacteria and eukarya as well as chloroplasts and mitochondria. Its best characterised activity is the generation of mature 5'-ends of tRNAs by cleaving the 5'-leader elements of precursor-tRNAs. Cellular RNase Ps are ribonucleoproteins.
Source: RNAcentral
CGAGUAAGCCAGAUGAUCGCGGCGGUUGUGCCUUACGGCAGAGCCGACGAGGAAAGUCCGAGCUGCAUAGGGCAAGGGUGCCGGGUAACUCCCGGUGGAGGCGACUCCAAGGACAGUGCAACAGAAAUAGACUACUGCUUACGCAGUACAGGUGGAAAGGUGAGGUAAAGGCUCACCGGCGGUUAGGCGACUAACCGGCCAUGUAAACCCCAUCCGCAGCAACACCGACAGGGGCGCCGGCCCGGCAUGUACCCCGAAAGGUGGCUUGAGCGGUGCAGAAAUGUACCGCCUAGAUAGAUGAUCAUUUAAUACAGAACUCGGCUUACAGACUUGCUCGUAAC